GGAUAAUCAAGGCUGAGGUGUGAUGACGAGGCACUACGGUGCUGAAGUAACAAAUGCCCUGCUUCCAGGAAAAGCCUCUAAGCAUCAGGUAACAUCAAAUCGUACCCCAAACCGACACAGGUGGUCAGGUAGAGAAUACCAAGGCGCUUGAGAGAACUCGGGUGAAGGAACUAGGCAAAAUGGUGCCGUAACUUCGGGAGAAGGCACGCUGGUGUGUAGGUGAAGUCCCUGCGGAUGGAGCUGAGACCAGUCGAAGAUACCAGCUGGCUGCAACUGUUUAUUAAAAACACAGCACUGUGCAAACACGAAAGUGGACGUAUACGGUGUGACGCCUGCCCGGUGCCGGAAGGUUAAUUGAUGGGGUUAUCCGUAAGGAGAAGCUCUUGAUCGAAGCCCCGGUAAACGGCGGCCGUAACUAUAACGGUCCUAAGGUAGCGAAAUUCCUUGUCGGGUAAGUUCCGACCUGCACGAAUGGCGUAAUGAUGGCCAGGCUGUCUCCACCCGAGACUCAGUGAAAUUGAACUCGCUGUGAAGAUGCAGUGUACCCGCGGCAAGACGGAAAGACCCCGUGAACCUUUACUAUAGCUUGACACUGAACAUUGAGCCUUGAUGUGUAGGAUAGGUGGGAGGCUUUGAAGCGUGGACGCCAGUCUGCGUGGAGCCAACCUUGAAAUACCACCCUUUAAUGUUUGAUGUUCUAACGUUGGCCCCUUACCGGGGUUGCGGACAGUGUCUGGUGGGUAGUUUGACUGGGGCGGUCUCCUCCCAAAGCGUAACGGAGGAGCACGAAGGUUAGCUAAUCCUGGUCGGACAUCAGGAGGUUAGUGCAAUGGCAUAAGCUAGCUUGACUGCGAGCGUGACGGCGCGAGCAGGUGCGAAAGCAGGUCAUAGUGAUCCGGUGGUUCUGAAUGGAAGGGCCAUCGCUCAACGGAUAAAAGGUACUCCGGGGAUAACAGGCUGAUACCGCCCAAGAGUUCAUAUCGACGGCGGUGUUUGGCACCUCGAUGUCGGCUCAUCACAUCCUGGGGCUGAAGUAGGUCCCAAGGGUAUGGCUGUUCGCCAUUUAAAGUGGUACGCGAGCUGGGUUUAGAACGUCGUGAGACAGUUCGGUCCCUAUCUGCCGUGGGCGCUGGAGAAUUGAGGGGGGCUGCUCCUAGUACGAGAGGACCGGAGUGGACGCAUCACUGGUGUUCGGGUUGUCAUGCCAAUGGCACUGCCCGGUAGCUAAAUGCGGAAGAGAUAAGUGCUGAAAGCAUCUAAGCACGAAACUUGCCCCGAGAUGAGUUCUCCCUGAGACUUUAAGUCUCCUGAAGGAACGUUAAAGACGAUGACGUUGAUAGGCCGGGUGUGUAAGCGCAGCGAUGCGUUGAGCUAACCGGUACUAAUGAACCGUGAGGCUUAACCUU
This 1406-nucleotide ribosomal RNA is filed under the name Klebsiella pneumoniae. RNAcentral's name for it is "bacterial LSU rRNA". It matches the Rfam family "Bacterial large subunit ribosomal RNA", at positions 1544 to 2925 of the family's 2925-position model. Lineage: Bacteria; Pseudomonadati; Pseudomonadota; Gammaproteobacteria; Enterobacterales; Enterobacteriaceae. The record is from RNAcentral.